GAGGAUAAUAAAUAAAAAGAAGCGAAGAGAGAAAACUGACGAAAUACUAUGUUGGCGUUGACCGUUGGAGGGUUUAAGCAGACGCUAUUCUCCAGAAGAAGUGUUCUUCUUCUUCUUCUUCCUCUUCGUCGACCUCUCUCAGUCACAACAGUCAUCAUGGCGAAUCUGCCGCCUAGGGUUUCUUCGCCGCCUUACUCGACGACUGCUUCCCCUGCUGACGGCGCUCCCGUAAAGCGCGUCGGAACUCA
This 248-nucleotide long non-coding RNA is filed under the name Linum usitatissimum (flax). RNAcentral's name for it is "long non-coding RNA (LUSI_LNC000531)". The record is from RNAcentral. Lineage: Eukaryota; Viridiplantae; Streptophyta; Magnoliopsida; Malpighiales; Linaceae.